RNAcentral lists this ribosomal RNA (459 nucleotides) under uncultured Desulfobulbus sp. Its description in RNAcentral is "bacterial SSU rRNA". It matches the Rfam family "Bacterial small subunit ribosomal RNA", at positions 929 to 1382 of the family's 1533-position model. The record is from RNAcentral. Lineage: Bacteria; Pseudomonadati; Thermodesulfobacteriota; Desulfobulbia; Desulfobulbales; Desulfobulbaceae.
GCGGUGGAGUAUGUGGUUUAAUUCGAUGCAACGCGAAGAACCUUACCUGGUCUUGACAUCCCGGAGACCCUUAGGAAACUAGGGGGUGCUUCCAUCUGGAAGAAUCUGGAGACAGGUGCUGCAUGGCUGUCGUCAGCUCGUGUCGUGAGAUGUUGGGUUAAGUCCCGCAACGAGCGCAACCCUUGCCUUUAGUUGCCAGCAGUUCGGCUGGGCACUCUAAAGGGACUGCCGGUGUUAAACCGGAGGAAGGUGGGGAUGACGUCAAGUCCUCAUGGCCUUUAUGACCAGGGCUACACACGUACUACAAUGGCCGAUACAAAGGGCAGCGACACUGCGAGGUGAAGCCAAUCCCGUAAAAUCGGUCUCAGUCCGGAUUGGAGCCUGCAACUCGACUCCAUGAAGUUGGAAUCGCUAGUAAUCGUGGAUCAGCAUGCCACGGUGAAUACGUUCCCGGGCCUU